This 72-nucleotide transfer RNA is filed under the name Ornithorhynchus anatinus (platypus). It matches the Rfam family "tRNA". Rfam says of the family: Transfer RNA (tRNA) molecules are approximately 80 nucleotides in length. Their secondary structure includes four short double-helical elements and three loops (D, anti-codon, and T loops). Further hydrogen bonds mediate the characteristic L-shaped molecular structure. tRNAs have two regions of fundamental functional importance: the anti-codon, which is responsible for specific mRNA codon recognition, and the 3' end, to which the tRNAs corresponding amino acid is attached (by aminoacyl-tRNA synthetases). tRNAs cope with the degeneracy of the genetic code in two manners: having more than one tRNA (with a specific anti-codon) for a particular amino acid; and 'wobble' base-pairing, i.e. permitting non-standard base-pairing at the 3rd anti-codon position. The record is from Rfam by way of RNAcentral. Lineage: Eukaryota; Metazoa; Chordata; Mammalia; Monotremata; Ornithorhynchidae.
GGUAGCAUGGCUUAGUGGAAAGAGCACAGGCUUGGAAGUCAGAGGACGUGGCUUCUAAUCCCACCUCUGCCA